AGUUUGAUCAUGGCUCAGAACGAACGCUGGCGGCAUGCCUAACACAUGCAAGUCGAACGAGAUCCUUCGGGGGUCUAGUGGCGGACGGGUGAGUAACGCGUGGGGACCUGCCCAGGGGUACGGAAUAACUACGGGAAACUGUAGCUAAUACCGUAUGAUGCCGAAAGGCCAAAGAUUUAUCGCCCUUGGAUGGACCCGCGUUGGAUUAGCUAGUUGGUGAGGUAAUGGCUCACCAAGGCGACGAUCCAUAGCUGGUUUGAGAAGAUGAUCAGCCACACUGGGACUGAGACACGGCCCAGACUCCUACGGGAGGCAGCAGUGGGGAAUAUUGGACAAUGGGGGCAACCCUGAUCCAGCAAUGCCGCGUGAGUGAAGAAGGCCUUAGGGUUGUAAAGCUCUUUCAGAUGGGAAGAUAAUGACGGUACCAUCAGAAGAAGCCCCGGCUAACUCCGUG
This 454-nucleotide ribosomal RNA is filed under the name uncultured bacterium. RNAcentral describes it as "bacterial SSU rRNA". It matches the Rfam family "Bacterial small subunit ribosomal RNA", at positions 10 to 507 of the family's 1533-position model. The record is from RNAcentral.